This 466-nucleotide ribosomal RNA is filed under the name uncultured bacterium. RNAcentral's name for it is "partial 16S ribosomal RNA". It matches the Rfam family "Bacterial small subunit ribosomal RNA", at positions 28 to 508 of the family's 1533-position model. The record is from RNAcentral.
GAUGAACGCUGGCGGCGUGCUUAACACAUGCAAGUCGAACGAUGAAGCCCAGCUUGCUGGGUGGAUUAGUGGCGAACGGGUGAGUAACACGUGAGUAACCUGCCCUUGACUCUGGGAUAAGCCUGGGAAACUGGGUCUAAUACUGGAUAUGACUUCUCAUCGCAUGGUGGGGGGUGGAAAGAUUUAUUGGUCUUGGAUGGACUCGCGGCCUAUCAGCUUGUUGGUGAGGUAAUGGCUCACCAAGGCGACGACGGGUAGCCGGCCUGAGAGGGUGACCGGCACCACGGGGCUGAAGACCGGCCCCGGCCCCCCGCGGGAGGCGGAAGUGGGGAUUAUGGCAAACUGGCCAGAACCAUGAGCCGGCGCCGCGGGGUGGGGAUGGGGGCCUUUCGGGUUUAACACUUGUCUGAGCAGGGAAAAGGCGGGCGGCACGGAGCUUAAAAAAGGGAAGCGGCCAACCUAGCUC